Molecule: ribosomal RNA, 523 nt
Filed under: uncultured Glomus
Lineage: Eukaryota; Fungi; Glomeromycota; Glomeromycetes; Glomerales; Glomeraceae
Description: SSU rRNA
Rfam family: Eukaryotic small subunit ribosomal RNA
Source: RNAcentral
CAGCAGCCGCGGUAAUUCCAGCUCCAAUAGCGUAUAUUAAAGUUGUUGCAGUUAAAAAGCUCGUAGUUGAAUUUCGGGGUUAGUAGGUUGGUCGUGCCACCGGUAUGUACUGGCUCUACUGAUCCCUCCUUCUUGUAGAACCGUAAUGCCAUUAACUUGGUGUUGCGGGGAAACAGGACUGUUACUUUGAAAAAAUUAGAGUGUUUAAAGCAGGCUAACGCUUGAAUACAUUAGCAUGGAAUAAUGAAAUAGGACGCUCGAUCCUAUUUUGUUGGUUUCUAGGAUUGACGUAAUGAUUAAUAGGGAUAGUUGGGGGCAUUAGUAUUCAAUUGUCAGAGGUGAAAUUCUUGGAUUUAUUGAAGACUAACUACUGCGAAAGCAUUUGCCAAGGAUGUUUUCAUUAAUCAAGAACGAAAGUUAGGGGAUCGAAGACGAUCAGAUACCGUCGUAGUCCUAACCAUAAACUAUGCCGACUAGGGAUCGGAUGAUGUUAAUUUUUUAAUGACUCAUUCGGCGCCUUACG